UACGUAGGGGGCAAGCGUUGUCCGGAUUUAUUGGGCGUAAAGGGCGCGUAGGCGGCUCGCUAAGUCGGGUGUGAAAACUCUGGGCUCAACCCAGAGCCUGCAUUCGAAACUGUCGAGCUAGAGUUCUGGAGGGGAAAGCGGAAUUCCUGGUGUAGCGGUGAAAUGCGUAGAUAUCAGGAGGAACACCGGUGGCGAAGGCGGCUUUCUGGACAGAAACUGACGCUGAGGCGCGAAAGCUAGGGGAGCAAACAGG
This 253-nucleotide ribosomal RNA is filed under the name uncultured bacterium. RNAcentral describes it as "partial 16S ribosomal RNA". It matches the Rfam family "Bacterial small subunit ribosomal RNA", at positions 524 to 776 of the family's 1533-position model. The record is from RNAcentral.